Notolabrus celidotus (New Zealand spotty) is the source of this 475-nucleotide long non-coding RNA. RefSeq lists it as uncharacterized. The record is from RefSeq and is a predicted model, not a curated record. Lineage: Eukaryota; Metazoa; Chordata; Actinopteri; Labriformes; Labridae. The transcript has 2 exons.
UCUGUUCAGGUAAUUAUGAGCUGUCAGGUGAAAGUGUUUGAUGUCGAGGGGAGCGUCUGAUUGGCCGACGAUGUUCUCAUAAUGACAGGGAGCUGACACGUCCUGCAGGCGAACACUUAAUGAUAUUUAAUGUUAAAGUUAAACACUCAGAGAGGAUGGUCUUCAUUGGUAAACAUGUCUAAUGGAGCUUAGCAAACACCCAGUGGAUGUAAUGACGUUAAUGGAUCCAAGGAACAGAACAGGGAGGGGUCCUGAUGACAUCACAGUACAGGUGAUCACAGGUGAAUCCACUGAUUGCUAACGGGGUGCACCUGGUGGUGCUGAAAGCCAAAGUGCUGCCUGCAGGAAGAAUCAAAUGAUGACAUCACUUCUAUACUUUUCCUCAAAAUACUCAGACUUUAUUCUCAAUAUAUUUUCAAAUUUCACUUUUUAUUGUUAUUAUAUGAGGAAUAAAUAAUAAAAGACUCCUAAUCCA